UGGGGAAUAUUGCGCAAUGGGGGGAACCCUGACGCAGCCAUGCCGCGUGAAUGAAGAAGGCCUUCGGGUUGUAAAGUUCUUUCGGUAUUGAGGAAGGUUGAUGUGAUAAUAGCACAUCAAAUUGACGUUAAAUACAGAAGAAGCACCGGCUAACUCCGUGCCAGCAGCCGCGGUAAUACGGAGGGUGCGAGCGUUAAUCGGAAUAACUGGGCGUAAAGGGCACGCGGGCGGUUAUUUAAGUGAGGUGUGAAAGCCCUGGGCUUAACCUAGGAAUUGCAUUUCAGAUUGGGUAACUAGAGUACUUUAGGGAGGGGUAGAAUUCCACGUGUAGCGGUGAAAUGCGUAGAGAUGUGGAGGAAUACCGAAGGCGAAGGCAGCCCCUUGGGAAUGUACUGACGCUCAUGUGCGAAAGCGUGGGGAGCAAACAGGAUUAGAUACCCUGGUAGUCCACGCUGUAAACGCUGUCGAUUUGGGGGUUGGGGUUUAACUUUGGCGCCCGUAGCUAACGUGAUAAAUCGACCGCCUGGGGAGUACGGCCGCAAGGUUA
RNAcentral lists this ribosomal RNA (547 nucleotides) under uncultured bacterium. RNAcentral's name for it is "bacterial SSU rRNA". It matches the Rfam family "Bacterial small subunit ribosomal RNA", at positions 355 to 896 of the family's 1533-position model. The record is from RNAcentral.